GUUAUUAUGGCUUAAACUAAUCUAAUAUUAUCUCUGCCACUUCUACUCUCACGUCUCCAACUCACGGUUUUCCAUCUUUGCGCAUUGAAAGAAAUUAUGAAGAAAGAAAAAAAUGCAAGCCUUAUCCUCUGUUAGCAGUAACUUUCUCUCCCUCCUCUUCCUCUCUCUCACGACACCCUCUGUUUGUAAACUAUAAGGAGAUGAACAUAGGGUUAGAGGCAGAGAGCACAAUGAAGAGGAAGAUGUGAACCCCUAAGAAGAUACAAGUAAAGAAUUGAUUGAAUCAGUGGAGAAGAUCUUUCAGAAUCAAUGUCUUCCGGGAUGGAGAUAUCAGGUGACGAUAAGGACCAUCGUGGUAUUAAAGUUCUUUGAACUUAAGGUUUAUUUUCGGAGUGUUCCAAACCCCGUCCUUGUUCUCACAUCCCGGUUUUGGAAAAUAGUUAUGGCGGCAGAAGGAUUCUUGGUAGCUUGGGGUUAUGUAUUGAAGAAGAAUGGAUUCGGUGGACUGCGUAAACGAUUCAAGGACCAUGUUAUUUUCAGUCUUUUAAUUAUGUUUCUAUUUAUUUUCCGCACUUAGUUUUGUAACAAAAUUUAUUUAACUUUAAAGUUAUGUUUUAUUUUCAAACAAUGGGAUCCCAUACCCCUGAAUUUAUGUAUUUUAACAUUUACUUAGAGUUUUUAAUAAAGUUUAUGAAUGUUUCUUAUG
Molecule: long non-coding RNA, 706 nt
Organism: Humulus lupulus (European hop)
Lineage: Eukaryota; Viridiplantae; Streptophyta; Magnoliopsida; Rosales; Cannabaceae
Exons: 4
Source: RefSeq, a predicted model, not a curated record